AUUUAUAUAGUAUAAAUAGUACAAUUAAUUUCCAAUUAAUAAGAUUAAUAAUAAUAUAAAUA
RNAcentral lists this transfer RNA (62 nucleotides) under Eupelmus sp. ZJUH_2016012. RNAcentral describes it as "tRNA-Gly". Lineage: Eukaryota; Metazoa; Arthropoda; Insecta; Hymenoptera; Eupelmidae. The record is from RNAcentral.